UUUUUUUUAAUUAUAAACUGAUCGGCGAUUGGCCCUAUAACAUAUAAUAUUCAUGUAAUCCUGGGUUUUUGUAUUUAUUUAUAUAGUUGUGAUUUUUACUAAUCAUUCCUUUACCAUUGUUUGAGAGCAUGUUUUUAUAUUUUGUAUCCUUGUAAAUUAUGGGCUUAUUAUACAAAUAAUUAAUAUGACUUUAGAAAAAUGUACAGUAAAUAAGGCGUGUAAUCAAUUCAAUUUGUAAUUAGAAUUAUUGUUGAAUAUAUAAAAAGACAUUUUUAUUCGGAAUUAAUUGUACUGUACUUAAAUUACAGUUUGCCAGUUGUUUAUUUCGAUUGAUAUUUUAUUGUUAAAAAAUUGUUGUUUAUAUCUGGUGAAUUAAAUGAUUUGAUGGUU
Cydia strobilella is the source of this 390-nucleotide long non-coding RNA. RefSeq lists it as uncharacterized. NCBI's taxonomy places the organism in Eukaryota, Metazoa, Arthropoda, Insecta, Lepidoptera, Tortricidae. The transcript is spliced from 2 exons. The record is from RefSeq and is a predicted model, not a curated record.